CGAACGCUGGCGGCGUGCUUAACACAUGCAAGUCGAACGAUGAAGGAGGAGCUUGCUCCUCCGGAUUAGUGGCGAACGGGUGAGUAACACGUGAGCAAUGUGCCCUUGACUCUGGAAUAAGCGCUGGAAACGGCGUCUAAUACCGGAUACGACCCUCGGAGGCAUCUCCAGGGGGUGGAAAGAACUUCGGUCAAGGAUCAGCUCACGGCCUAUCAGUUAGUUGGUGAGGUAACGGCUCACCAAGACGACGACGGGUAGCCGGCCUGAGAGGGUGACCGGCCACACUGGGACUGAGACACGGCCCAGACUCCUACGGGAGGCAGCAGUGGGGAAUAUUGCACAAUGGGCGCAAGCCUGAUGCAGCAACGCCGCGUGAGGGACGACGGCCUUCGGGUUGUAAACCUCUUUUAGCAGGGAAGAAGCGAAAGUGACGGUACCUGCAGAAAAAGCACCGGCUAACUACGUGCCAGCAGCCGCGGUAAUACGUAGGGUGCAAGCGUUGUCCGGAAUUAUUGGGCGUAAAGAGCUCGUAGGCGGUUUGUCACGUCUGCUGUGAAAUCCCGAGGCUCAACCUCGGGCUUGCAGUGGGUACGGGCAGACUAGAGUGCGGUAGGGGAGAUUGGAAUUCCUGGUGUAGCGGUGGAAUGCGCAGAUAUCAGGAGGAACACCGAUGGCGAAGGCAGAUCUCUGGGCCGUAACUGACGCUGAGGAGCGAAAGCAUGGGGAGCAAACAGGCUUANAUACCCUGGUAGUCCAUGCCGUAAA
This 765-nucleotide ribosomal RNA is filed under the name Agrococcus sp. AD-A4. Its description in RNAcentral is "bacterial SSU rRNA". It matches the Rfam family "Bacterial small subunit ribosomal RNA", at positions 30 to 806 of the family's 1533-position model. The record is from RNAcentral. Lineage: Bacteria; Bacillati; Actinomycetota; Actinomycetes; Micrococcales; Microbacteriaceae.